AUUCCAGCUCCAAGAGCGUAUAUUAAAGUUGCUGCGGUUAAAAAGCUCGUAGUUGGAUUUCAGUCUAGGAAGGUUAACUCGCCGAAAGGUUGUACGUUGAUUUUCCUCAGACUUCGUCAGAAGCUCGUGCUGCACUUAACUGUGUGGUACGAUGUUCUGACCUUUUACCUUGAGGAAAGUAGAGUGUUUCAGGCAGGCUACCCAGCUUGAAUACAUUAGCAUGGAAUAAUGAAAUCGGUUCGAUUUCGUUGGUUCCAGAGCUGAGGUGAUGAUCAAUAGGAACAGGCGAAGGUAUUCGUACUUGAGAGUGAGGAGUGAAAUCCGAUGAUCUCUUAAAGAAAGCAUUUGUCAAGGAUGUUUUCAUUG
Molecule: ribosomal RNA, 366 nt
Filed under: Eukaryota sp.
Lineage: Eukaryota
Description: partial small subunit ribosomal RNA
Rfam family: Eukaryotic small subunit ribosomal RNA
Source: RNAcentral